This 227-nucleotide ribosomal RNA is filed under the name uncultured bacterium. Its description in RNAcentral is "partial 16S ribosomal RNA". It matches the Rfam family "Bacterial small subunit ribosomal RNA", at positions 383 to 607 of the family's 1533-position model. The record is from RNAcentral.
CUGAACCAGCCAAGUAGCGUGAAGGAUGACUGCCCUAUGGGUUGUAAACUUCUUUUAUACGGGAAUAAAGUGAGGCACGUGUGCCUUUUUGUAUGUACCGUAUGAGUAAGGAUCGGCUAACUCCGUGCCAGCAGCCGCGGUAAUACGGAGGAUCCGAGCGUUAUCCGGAUUUAUUGGGUUUAAAGGGAGCGUAGGCGGACGCUUAAGUCAGUUGUGAAAGUUUGCGG